CCGUGCUAGAUGGGGAGUUAGCGGUGCCCUGUAACCUGCAAUCCGCUACAGCAGGAUUGAAUUCCUCAUUGAGGCUUUAUCUUGUAAGGUCUGCCCUGUAAAAGUGGCGUUGAGAGUUGGGUCCCACGCAAUGAAAGCCCAUGAACCCCGUCAGGUCCGGAAGGAAGCAGCGGUAAGUGGUCACUUUCAUGUGCCGUGGAUAAACCUGGCUUGAGUUAACUCUACAGGUAACGCUUAUAGGGUAAAGUCAAGGUGAGGUGCACGG
This 265-nucleotide signal recognition particle RNA is filed under the name Clostridium amazonitimonense. RNAcentral's name for it is "Bacterial large signal recognition particle RNA". It matches the Rfam family "Bacterial large signal recognition particle RNA". From Rfam's summary of the family: The signal recognition particle (SRP) is a universally conserved ribonucleoprotein involved in the co-translational targeting of proteins to membranes. Archaeal SRP consists of a 7S RNA and homologues of the eukaryotic SRP19 and SRP54 proteins. In most bacteria, the SRP consists of a 4.5S RNA and the Ffh protein (a homologue of the eukaryotic SRP54 protein). The record is from RNAcentral. Lineage: Bacteria; Bacillati; Bacillota; Clostridia; Eubacteriales; Clostridiaceae.